AGAGUUUGAUCAUGGCUCAGGAUGAACGCUGGCGGCGUGCUUAAUACAUGCAAGUCGAACGAAGACAGUAGCAAUAUUGUCUGAGUGGCGAACGGGUGAGUAACGCGUUGGUGACCUGCCCCGAAGAGAGGGAUAACMRUYCSRAARGGAUUGCUAAUACCCCAUGUGGUCGUUUGGAUUAGAUGCCUUAUGACUAAACGGAUUUAUUCGCUUCGGGAGGGGCCUGCGUCCCAUCAGCUAGUUGGUAAGGUAAUGGCUUACCAAGGCGAUGACGGGUAGGGGACCUGAGAGGGUGGCCCCCCACAAUGGAACUGAAACACGGUCCAUACACCUACSGGUGGCAGCAGUAGGGAAUAUUGGUAAAUCUGGGAAACCGGGAACCAGCAACGCCGCGUGCACGAUGAAGGCCUUCGGGUUGUAAAGUGCUUUUUGAAAGGAUGAGGAAGGACAGUACUUUCAGAAUAAGCUUCGGCUAACUACGUGCCAGCCGCCGCGGUAAUUCA
This 503-nucleotide ribosomal RNA is filed under the name uncultured Bellilinea sp. RNAcentral's name for it is "bacterial SSU rRNA". It matches the Rfam family "Bacterial small subunit ribosomal RNA", at positions 8 to 527 of the family's 1533-position model. Lineage: Bacteria; Bacillati; Chloroflexota; Anaerolineae; Anaerolineales; Anaerolineaceae. The record is from RNAcentral.